UACGGAGGGGGCUAGCGUUGAUCGGAAUUACUGGGCGUAAAGCGCACGCAGGCGGUGAUUUAAGUCAGAUGUGAAAUCCUCGGGCUCAACCUGGGGACUGCCUUUGAAACUGGAAAGCUAGAGUCUCGUAGAGGGGGGUAGAAUUCCAGGUGUAGAGGUGAAAUGCGUAGAGAUCUGGAGGAAUACCGGUGGCGAAGGCGGCCCCCUGGACGAAGACUGACGCUCAGGUGCGAAAGCGUGGGGAGCAAACAGG
RNAcentral lists this ribosomal RNA (253 nucleotides) under uncultured bacterium. RNAcentral's name for it is "partial 16S ribosomal RNA". It matches the Rfam family "Bacterial small subunit ribosomal RNA", at positions 524 to 776 of the family's 1533-position model. The record is from RNAcentral.